ACAGGGAUUGCCCUAGUAACGGCGAGUGAAGCGGCAACAGCUCAAAUUUGAAAUCUGGCUCUUUUAGAGUCCGAGUUGUAAUUUGCAGAGGGCGCUUUGGCUUUGGCAGCGGUCCAAGUUCCUUGGAACAGGACGUCACAGAGGGUGAGAAUCCCGUACGUGGUCGCUGGCUAUUGCCGUGUAAAGCCCCUUCGACGAGUCGAGUUGUUUGGGAAUGCAGCUCUAAAUGGGAGGUACAUUUCUUCUAAAGCUAAAUAUUGGCCAGAGACCGAUAGCGCACAAGUAGAGUGAUCGAAAGAUGAAAAGCACUUUGGAAAGAGAGUCAAACAGCACGUGAAAUUGUUGAAAGGGAAGCGCUUGCAGCCAGACUUGCUUGCAGUUGCUCAUCCGGGCUUUUGCCCGGUGCACUCUUCUGCAGGCAGGCCAGCAUCAGUUUGGGCGGUAGGAUAAAGGUCUCUGUCACGUACCUCCUUUCGGGGAGGCCUUAUAGGGGAGACGACAUACUACCAGCCUGGACUGAGGUCCGCGCAUCUGCUAGGAUGCUGGCGUAAUGGCUGUAAGCGGCCCGUCUUGAAACACGGACCAAGGAGUCUAACAUCUAUGCGAGUGUUUGGGUGUCAAGCCCGAGCGCGUAAUGAAAGUGAACGGAGGUGGGAACCCGCAAGGGUGCACCAUCGACCGAUCCUGAUGUCUUCGGAAGGAUUUGAGUAAGAGCAUGGCUGUUGGGACCCGAAAGAUGGUGAACUAUGCUUGAAUAGGGUGAAGCCAGAGGAAACUCUGGUGGAGGCUCGCAGCGGUUCUGACGUGCAAAUCGAUCGUCAAAUUUGGGCAUAGGGGCGAAAGACUA
This is a ribosomal RNA of 847 nucleotides. It matches the Rfam family "Eukaryotic large subunit ribosomal RNA", at positions 68 to 933 of the family's 3401-position model.